GACGAACGCUGGCGGCGUGCCUAAUACAUGCAGGUAGAACGCACAGUUUAUACCGUAGCUUGCUACACCAUAAACUGUGAGUUGCGAACGGGUGAGUAACGCGUAGGUAACCUGCCUGGUAGCGGGGGAUAACUAUUGGAAACGAUAGCUAAUACCGCAUAAUAUUAAUUAUUGCAUGAUAAUUGAUUGAAAGAUGCAAUUGCAUCACUACCAGAUGGACCUGCGUUGUAUUAGCUAGUAGGUGAGGUAACGGCUCACCUAGGCGACGAUACAUAGCCGACCUGAGAGGGUGAUCGGCCACACUGGGACUGAGACACGGCCCAGACUCCUACGGGAGGCAGCAGUAGGGAAUCUUCGGCAAUGGACGAAAGUCUGACCGAGCAACGCCGCGCGAGUGAAGAAGGUUUUCGGAUCGUAAAGCUCUGUUGUAAGAGAAGAACGGGUGUGAGAGUGGAAAGUUCACACUGUGACGGUAUCUUACCAGAAAGGGACGGCUAACUACGUG
RNAcentral lists this ribosomal RNA (505 nucleotides) under uncultured bacterium. RNAcentral describes it as "partial 16S ribosomal RNA". It matches the Rfam family "Bacterial small subunit ribosomal RNA", at positions 28 to 507 of the family's 1533-position model. The record is from RNAcentral.